UUCAACGAGGAAUUCCUAGUAAGCGCAAGUCAUCAGCUUGCGUUGAUUACGUCCCUGCCCGGUCUGGGAAAUCUUGUGAAACUCCGUCGUGCUGGGGAUAGAGCAUUGUAAUUGUUGCUCUUUGUACACACCGCCCGUCGCUACUACCGAUUGAAUGGCUUAGUGAGGCCUCCGGAUUGGUUUAGGAAAGGGGGUAACCUCAUUCUGGAACCGAGAAGCUGGUCAAACUUGGUCAUUUAGAGGAAGUAAAAGUCGUAACAAGGUUUCCGUAGGUGAACCUGCGGAAGGAUCAUUA
RNAcentral lists this ribosomal RNA (295 nucleotides) under Candida albicans. Its description in RNAcentral is "partial 18S ribosomal RNA". It matches the Rfam family "Eukaryotic small subunit ribosomal RNA", at positions 1599 to 1831 of the family's 1831-position model. Lineage: Eukaryota; Fungi; Ascomycota; Pichiomycetes; Serinales; Debaryomycetaceae. The record is from RNAcentral.